GUUUUUACUCAACUUUUUCUUUCUCCCUCAUAAUUUCCGUCGACGCAUUUCCGGCAAACUUCUCCUCAUUUCUUUGUGUCACUAAGAAUUGGCACAUGUAGCCAAAUUCUGGAAAUUUCGAGAACUGACACUGGUAGUCAACUGUGGGAAAAGAAUUGAUACGAGUAGACAUAUUGUGCGUAUUUCGAAAAUUGGCACUAACACCCAUAUUGUGUGAAUUUCAAGAAUUGACAUUGGUAGUCAUAUUGUGUGUAUUUUAGAAUUGACAUUGUUAGUCAUAUGGUGGUGAGCGUAUUCGAGAUUGAUUCUUACAAUGCAGUAAGAAUUCGAUAACAGAGAACUGAACUGUUUUAUCCUGGCGACA
Molecule: long non-coding RNA, 364 nt
Filed under: Lupinus angustifolius (narrow-leaved blue lupine)
Lineage: Eukaryota; Viridiplantae; Streptophyta; Magnoliopsida; Fabales; Fabaceae
Description: long non-coding RNA (LANG_LNC000051)
Source: RNAcentral